Long non-coding RNA from Papaver somniferum (opium poppy), 520 nucleotides. RefSeq lists it as uncharacterized. NCBI's taxonomy places the organism in Eukaryota, Viridiplantae, Streptophyta, Magnoliopsida, Ranunculales, Papaveraceae. The record is from RefSeq and is a predicted model, not a curated record. The transcript is spliced from 2 exons.
CCAUGGCCCGGUUUGAUAAGUAAAACUCUCGACUCUUCUUUUUCUUAUCUCAACUCUCCUAUUUCUCUUUCUUGAUUACAGCAGAUGAUUAGCUUCUAUUCGUUCAGUUCUGCAGCAAAUGGAAUUAAACCCAAUCGAUGAAACCAUUUGCUACAGAAAAGUUUUGAAAUACCAAAAUUGUUUCUCGUUUCUUUCAGGUGCUUCUAGUUUAGCUAAUAGAUAUGUUUGGAAUUCGGAAGAUUGAUACUGCUAAAAAGAUUAUGGUCACGUAGCAAUUGGGAUUGUUGUUUGUUCAGAUUGAUAGCUUUGUGUUCAACAUUUUGCUUAUUGCUUUUAAUUUUCAAAUUAGUAUUGUUUGGAUCCUUGUUAAUGAAUGACAAGGAGUGGGGAGUGUUUCUUUUUUUUUUUUGAUUGGCUGAGUACCUGUUUUUAAUGAACGAGAAGUGAGAACUAGACAUAGCUGGUUCACUUAUUCAAGACAUUGAAAAUUUGUUAAUCGGUGGUAGAAGUUCUACCGUAA